Molecule: long non-coding RNA, 233 nt
Filed under: Locusta migratoria (migratory locust)
Lineage: Eukaryota; Metazoa; Arthropoda; Insecta; Orthoptera; Acrididae
Description: partial Lnc46515
Source: RNAcentral
GCACAGCAAAGAAACUCAAUUCAGUAAAGCAAAAUGCUGUAACAAAGAAGUCAAUUGUGUGCUAAUGAUGUGGGAGCAAUAGUAUCUUAAACACACUGUGUGAAAUAAGUACUCACCAACAGAAGAGAACAUAACANNNNNNNNNNACGAAUGUCAUUGCUCAAGCAAUGUGUAAAAUGAUAAGUAACAAUAUAAGUAGAGAUACUUCUGAGCUGUGAAUUAUAUAAAAUGUC